Molecule: non-coding RNA, 278 nt
Organism: Pelobates cultripes (western spadefoot toad)
Lineage: Eukaryota; Metazoa; Chordata; Amphibia; Anura; Pelobatidae
Source: the annotation of a GenBank genome assembly
CAUGUCUAUGGACAGCAGUCUCUCCCAAUAUCUAUGGACAGCAGUCUCUCCCAAUGUCUAGUGACAGCAGUCUCUCCCAAUGUCUAUGGACAGCAGUCUCUCCCAAUGUCUAUGGACAGCAGUCUCUCCCAAUGUCUAGUGACAGCAGUCUCUCCCCAUGUCUAGUGACAGCAGUCUCUCCCCAUGUUUAGUGACAGCAGUCUCUCCCCAUGUCUAUGGACAGCAGUCUCUCCCAAUGUUUAGUGACAGCAGUCUCUCCCCAUGUCUAUAGACAGCAG